AGGACGAACGCUGGCGGCGUGCUUAACACAUGCAAGUCGAGCGGUAAGGCCCUUUCGGGGGUACACGAGCGGCGAACGGGUGAGUAACACGUGAGCAAUCUGCCCUUCACUUCGGGAUAAGCCUCGGAAACGGGGUCUAAUACCGGAUAUGACUGCGCCAUGCAGUGUGGUGUGGUGGAAAGUUCUGGCGGUGA
Molecule: ribosomal RNA, 194 nt
Filed under: uncultured soil bacterium
Lineage: Bacteria
Description: partial 16S ribosomal RNA
Rfam family: Bacterial small subunit ribosomal RNA
Source: RNAcentral